Molecule: long non-coding RNA, 887 nt
Organism: Tetranychus urticae (two-spotted spider mite)
Lineage: Eukaryota; Metazoa; Arthropoda; Arachnida; Trombidiformes; Tetranychidae
Source: RefSeq, a predicted model, not a curated record
UGGUCUCUCAUCUUUUUAGUCGUGAAGAAAGGUUCAAUCAGCUUCCUUCGAACCUUCCAAACUUCAGGUUCUGAAGCUAACAGUCCAUCUCCUAUGCCAAUAAAUGUAUAAGCUUUCGGUUUCUUCAAAUUUUUUUUGUGCAAGACUAACUAAACAAUUUAGGCAAUAAAUAAAUUGAAAACAAAAGUUAUUUUAUUUCAUCUGAUAAUGAGCCCAAUGAACGGGAGUAAAUGCGUUGGCAAAAAAGCUUAUAAGCCAAAUCACUUAUAAUGCUAUAGCGGUACUUACCCUGAAUUUUCAACUUUGCUAUUUUCUGUGUAAUAAAUAUCUGGUAACUAAUAACAAUAUCUGGUUCAGAAGUACUAAAAUUCACAAUUACUUCUGUUUGGACCCAACAAUUAGAACAUAAAUAUUCGAGCCGAGUAAGAUUAAAUUAUUGGAUAAAAAGCCAAUUUAAAUGAUUGAUGUUCACUUUACCUCUACCGCUUCAUGGCCAAAAGCAAAGACAACUGGAAAAAUCGAGAUCCAUAAAAUUUGCAACGAUUGAAGUGGAUUAGAACCAAUAGCUCUUCAAUAGGAAACGGAAAAUUUGGCCAAAUCUCCUUCCAAUGUCCCAGGAAGAAAUUUUUUGGCUGAUAAUGGAAUCCAUGAUAAUGAAUAACAAUAUAAAUAUAAUGUAAUAAAGGCUUCAAUAGAUGAACAUAAAUAAAAUAUGAAAUUAUUGAAAACAAAAGCAACUUCAAUGAAUCAACACUAAACAGUCCAAUAUAAGACAUUGUAAAUUCUGGUAACCAAUUCAGUCCAACCUGUAACUGUAAUUUUCAUCAGAACAAAGUUAAUAAGAAGUUUAUGGUUUCACUACUCAACUUACAAACUUACUGUCUAAA